Molecule: ribosomal RNA, 263 nt
Filed under: uncultured Thiobacillus sp.
Lineage: Bacteria; Pseudomonadati; Pseudomonadota; Betaproteobacteria; Nitrosomonadales; Thiobacillaceae
Description: partial 16S ribosomal RNA
Rfam family: Bacterial small subunit ribosomal RNA
Source: RNAcentral
UUAGUUGCUACGCAAGGCACUCUAAUGAGACUGCCGGUGACAACCGGAGGAAGGUGGGGAUGACGUCAAGUCCUCAUGGCCCUUAUGGGUAGGGCUUCACACGUCAUACAAUGGUCGGUACAGAGGGUUGCCAAGCCGCGAGGUGGAGCCAAUCCCAGAAAGCCGAUCGUAGUCCGGAUUGUUCUCUGCAACUCGAGAGCAUGAAGUCGGAAUCGCUAGUAAUCGCGGAUCAGCAUGUCGCGGUGAAUACGUUCCCGGGUCUU